CAGGACAGAUGAAAACAGGUUAAAUGAAGAAGCAGAUGGAGCCCAAAAGCUUUUGGUGAAGGCCAAAGCAGCUGAGAAAGCAGCAAAUAUUCUAUUAAAUCUUGACAAAACAUUGAACCAGUUACAACAAGCUCAAAUCACUCAAGGACGGGCAAACUCUACCAUUACACAGCUGACUGCCAAUAUAACAAAAAUAAAAAAGAAUGUGCUGCAGGAAUUUGUUGAGCUGAAAAAACAAUAUGCUAUUCUCCAACGUAAGACAAGCACUACAGGACUAACAAAGGAGACAUUAGGAAAAGUUAAACAGCUAAAAGAUGCGGCAGAAAAAUUGGCUGGAGAUACAGAGGCCAAGAUAAGAAGAAUAACAGAUUUAGAAAGGAAAAUCCAAGAUUUGAAUCUAAGUAGACAAGCAAAAGCUGAUCAACUGAGAAUAUUGGAAGAUCAAGUUGUUGCCAUUAAAAAUGAAAUUGUUGAACAAGAAAAAAAAUAUGCUAGGUGCUAUAGCUAGGCAGAGUUAAAGAGCAAAAGCUUGUGCCUUUGUUUCUGGUUUCUGAUGUACAAGCCCCUGGGGCUCUGUUGAACCUGUGAAAUACUGACAAUGUCUUCUACCUUCCUUCCCCACACCCUGUCCUUAUUAGACACCUGCUCAGUGUGGCUGGAGGUUGAAAUGCCACCAGGAAAAUGCCACUUCAUAAUUGAAAGGGGAAAGUAAUGAAAUUGUCUCUGGUUUCAGAAA
RNAcentral lists this long non-coding RNA (736 nucleotides) under Homo sapiens (human). RNAcentral's name for it is "non-protein coding lnc-LAMB1-1:1". The record is from RNAcentral. Lineage: Eukaryota; Metazoa; Chordata; Mammalia; Primates; Hominidae.